RNAcentral lists this ribosomal RNA (468 nucleotides) under uncultured bacterium. RNAcentral's name for it is "partial 16S ribosomal RNA". It matches the Rfam family "Bacterial small subunit ribosomal RNA", at positions 28 to 507 of the family's 1533-position model. The record is from RNAcentral.
GACGAACGCUGGCGGCGUGCUUAACACAUGCAAGUCGAACGGAAAGGCCCUGCUUUUGUGGGGUGCUCGAGUGGCGAACGGGUGAGUAGCACGUGAGUAACCUGCCCUUGACUUUGGGAUAACUUCAGGAAACUGGGGCUAAUACCGGAUAGGAGCUCCUGCUGCAUGGUGGGGGUUGGAAAGUUUCGGCGGUUGGGGAUGGACUCGCGGCUUAUCAGCUUGUUGGUGGGGUAGUGGCUUACCAAGGCUUUGACGGGUAGCCGGCCUGAGAGGGUGACCGGCCACCUUGGGACUGAGAUACGGCCCAGACUCCUACGGGAGGCAGCAGUGGGGAAUAUUGCACAAUGGGCGGAAGCCUGAUGCAGCAACGACGCGUGCGGGAUGACGGCCUGCGGGUUGUAAACCGCUUUCGCCUGUGACGAAGCGUGAGUGACGGUAAUGGGUAAAGAAGCACCGGCUAACUACGUG